Molecule: long non-coding RNA, 395 nt
Filed under: Brassica napus (rape)
Lineage: Eukaryota; Viridiplantae; Streptophyta; Magnoliopsida; Brassicales; Brassicaceae
Description: long non-coding RNA (BNAP_LNC011696)
Source: RNAcentral
AAAAAAAAAAUUCCUUAGACAAUCUAUAUUUCUUCCUUAACAAUAAUGCCUAGUUGUAUUUUAUAUUAAAUUUAUAUAAUAACAAAUAUCUAUAAGGGAGAUUUAGAGAAUUACCUAUAGAUAAGACCUACAUUAGAGACUUGUCCUCCGAUUGAUAGCUGAGAUAGAAGUCACACAAUAGAGUCCGAGAAUGGACGAAAAUGCCCUUCACCACCUGACACACCCAUUACAGAGUAUACUGACACCAGAUUUUUUUUUUCCUUGUCUUUCCUUUACGCUCUCUUUCUUUUGAUUCACACUCUUUUUACACUUUUUUUUUCCUAUUUUCUUUUUCUUUCUUCUUAUACUCACUUUUCUCUUACUUCUCUUCGCUUUCCUUCAACACUAUUUCUUCU